UGGGGAAUUUUGGACAAUGGGCGAAAGCCUGAUCCAGCAAUGCCGCGUGUGUGAAGAAGGCCUUCGGGUUGUAAAGCACUUUUGUCCGGAAAGAAAUCCUUGGCUCUAAUACAGUCGGGGGAUGACGGUACCGGAAGAAUAAGCACCGGCUAACUACGUGCCAGCAGCCGCGGUAAUACGUAGGGUGCAAGCGUUAAUCGGAAUUACUGGGCGUAAAGCGUGCGCAGGCGGUUUGCUAAGACCGAUGUGAAAUCCCCGGGCUCAACCUGGGAACUGCAUUGGUGACUGGCAGGCUAGAGUAUGGCAGAGGGGGGUAGAAUUCCACGUGUAGCAGUGAAAUGCGUAGAGAUGUGGAGGAAUACCGAUGGCGAAGGCAGCCCCCUGGGCCAAAUACUGACGCUCAUGCACGAAAGCGUGGGGAGCAAACAGGAUUAGAUACCCUGGUAGUCCACGCCCUAAACGAUGUCAACUAGUUGUUGGGGAUUCAUUUCCUUAGUAACGUAGCUAACGCGUGAAGUUGACCGCCUGGGGAGUACGGUCGCAAGAUUAAAACUUAAAUGAAUUGACGGGGU
Molecule: ribosomal RNA, 572 nt
Filed under: uncultured bacterium
Lineage: Bacteria
Description: partial 16S ribosomal RNA
Rfam family: Bacterial small subunit ribosomal RNA
Source: RNAcentral